CCUACGGGUGGCAGCAGUGGGGAAUAUUGCACAAUGGGCGCAAGCCUGAUGCAGCCAUGCCGCGUGUGUGAAGAAGGCCUUCGGGUUGUAAAGCACUUUCAGCGGGGAGGAAGGCGGUGAGGUUAAUAACCUCAUCGAUUGACGUUACCCGCAGAAGAAGCACCGGCUAACUCCGUGCCAGCAGCCGCGGUAAUACGGAGGGUGCAAGCGUUAAUCGGAAUUACUGGGCGUAAAGCGCACGCAGGCGGUCUGUCGAGUCGGAUGUGAAAUCCCCGGGCUCAACCUGGGAACUGCAUUCGAAACUGGCAGGCUAGAGUCUUGUAGAGGGGGGUAGAAUUCCAGGUGUAGCGGUGAAAUGCGUAGAGAUCUGGAGGAAUACCGGUGGCGAAGGCGGCCCCCUGGACAAAGACUGACGCUCAGGUGCGAAAGCGUGGGGAGCAAACAGGAUUAGAUACCCUAGUAGUC
RNAcentral lists this ribosomal RNA (465 nucleotides) under uncultured Klebsiella sp. RNAcentral describes it as "bacterial SSU rRNA". It matches the Rfam family "Bacterial small subunit ribosomal RNA", at positions 338 to 795 of the family's 1533-position model. The record is from RNAcentral. Lineage: Bacteria; Pseudomonadati; Pseudomonadota; Gammaproteobacteria; Enterobacterales; Enterobacteriaceae.